This 619-nucleotide ribosomal RNA is filed under the name Conchomyces bursiformis. RNAcentral's name for it is "LSU rRNA". It matches the Rfam family "Eukaryotic large subunit ribosomal RNA", at positions 74 to 677 of the family's 3401-position model. The record is from RNAcentral. Lineage: Eukaryota; Fungi; Basidiomycota; Agaricomycetes; Agaricales; Fayodiaceae.
AUUCCCCUAGUAACUGCGAGUGAAGCGGGAAAAGCUCAAAUUUAAAAUCUGGCGGUCUUUGGCCGUCCGAGUUGUAGUCUGGAGAAGUGCUUUCCGCGCUGGACCGUGUAUAAGUCUCUUGGAACAGAGCGUCAUAGAGGGUGAGAAUCCCGUCUUUGACACGGACUACCAGUGCUUUGUGAUGCGCUCUCAAAGAGUCGAGUUGUUUGGGAAUGCAGCUCAAAAUGGGUGGUGAAUUCCAUCUAAAGCUAAAUAUUGGCGAGAGACCGAUAGCGAACAAGUACCGUGAGGGAAAGAUGAAAAGCACUUUGGAAAGAGAGUUAAACAGUACGUGAAAUUGCUGAAAGGGAAACGCUUGAAGUCAGUCGCGUCUGCCGGAACUCAGCCUUCCUCUCGGUUGGUGCAUUUUCUGGUAGACGGGCCAGCAUCGAUUUUGACCGUCGGAAAAGGGCUGGGGAAAUGUGGCACCUUUUGGUGUGUUAUAGUCUUCAGUCGCAUACGGCGNUCGGGAUCGAGGAACGCAGCGCGCCGCAAGGCAGGGGUUCGCCCACUUUCGCGCUUAGGAUGCUGGCAUAAUGGCUUUAAACGACCCGUCUUGAAACACGGACCAAGGAGUCUA